RNAcentral lists this long non-coding RNA (440 nucleotides) under Bos taurus (domestic cattle). RNAcentral's name for it is "long non-coding RNA NONBTAT005761". The record is from RNAcentral. Lineage: Eukaryota; Metazoa; Chordata; Mammalia; Artiodactyla; Bovidae.
GCACAUCAGGAAGAUACUUUAAUAAUUAAUAAGUGAUGCACGGUGGGCUCCACAGUGUCGCACUGUUAGAAAUUUACAUUUGGGGCCCGUAAGGCAGACUUUUCAAAGUCUACAUUAUACUGUCCUUAGAAUGAAUGAACACAUGAACAAAUAAAGGCACAGUUUACUAAGUACCUAGCAGUGAGCUUCAGGGGACACGGAGAACAAAGGGAUUCCACAGCUGAUGUCUCUACUCAAGAAACUGAGAGCACUCUGGCUUCCUUCAGCCAGAUUUUAUCCCCAGAUUCUCUGUCUCCUGGAAAUAUUAAAAGAGACAUGUUUCAUCUAUUCUUACUAGCUCAUGGCUUAUUCAUAUCACCACGAAACCUGCUUGUUUAGGCCUGUGCUGGCUUUGCUAUCCAGAGGCACAAUGGUUGGAUUUUUCUUCCUUUCCUUUAAGC